AACCAUUGGAUCAAGUAAGGAGUUGAAAAACCCCUAGGUUUCACUCACUCGCACCCCUCUCACAACUUCGAUCAUCUGUCGCCUUCUCCAUCACAGCCGGCGUCCCUCAUUCUCUUCCUCUACCCGAUUGGGAGAGGACAGGCUCCCUUUUCCGCCUCCAUCUCAUCUACAGCCGACGCUAACGCACACAAUAGGAGCUUCAUCCCAGAAUCCGUAGGCCAUCUCAUCUCUUCUACCAUCUUCCUCGUCGUUGACUGCAAGGUCUUCUCACAAAUCUUCCAGAUCUGAAAGCCAUCUCACGAUGCCUUCAUCUUUAGCCCACAGCUUCUUCCAAUUGGGAGAGGCGCCACCACCGAACUCUACAUCACCCUCUCCUAAUUAGUAGAGGUUUCUUCGCCACCACUAGUUUCCUUCCACCUCUCCAUUUCGGAUUUGAAGAUUAAAGCUUCAUCACUAGCCAGCAGCCCCUCUCCUCUUCGGAUUUGAAGAGGAGAGUUCAUCCAUCCUUCAACAUCCCCUUUAUCUUUAGAUUCGAAGAAAAGGUUUCAUUCUCCAUCGACGAGCAGCCAUCCACUUCGUCCACAGCCUUCGCCGAUAGAUUGGCCAUCAAAGAAGCUCCAUCCAGCAGCCCCCUCCCCAAAGAGGAGAGUUCUAUUCCGAUCCAUGCCUACGACAUUGGGUUAUUUCUAUCUAUGUUGAAUUGUGUUAUUCUUGUUGAUUGUUGAAUUGUAACGUAGCUAUUCUCCCAUGUUUAGAAUUGCAUGUAUUUUUCUUAAUUGAAUUCUCGCUCGUUAUGUGUUUGAUGAAAUGCCUCUUUCAUUAGUUAGUUUCUAAACUUGCAUCUUCUUUGGUUUGAAUUCUUAUGAUAAUUAGUUAGUUGAAUGUUUUAGGUUAGAUUAGAUUAGAUUAGUUGAAUUUUGACAAAUUUAUUCAUGUGGAAGUUUAUUUCUAAUAUUUCCUAAAUUUUUGCGACUCAAAUUUAUUCAACUUGUCCAUUACCUUGUCUAUAAACUAUGCACUUCCAGAAUCAUAAACUAUGCACUUCCAGAAUCUUAUUGAAGCUUGUUAUUGGGUCGGUCUUGAAGCUAUAUUAUGUUAUUUUGGAAAGUUUCUUGAAACAUAAUCCAUUCAAAGAAAUUUGGAACUCAGGAAGUGUGGACUUCCAUUGCACUUUAUCCAUACCUAUGUUUUCUCUUUAACAUCCUUGCAUCUGCUUAUGGUUUAGUCACUUUAUUGCUAUUCACUUUGUCCAUUCGAAGGAUUUAACUCAAAUUCUAUAAGAUAAUUUGUUGCCUGUUUUCCCUCAGUUUGCUUGCUCGACGCACAUAACACAACUAGAUAUGUGUUCCAUUCUAAAAGUUUUCUAUAGUUUAUGAUUGGCUUCUAUAUCAAUGUAUAAUUUAACCAUAUAAGAACUAGUGUGUUUAUGGUCAACAUGGUUAUCCAUUAGUAUAACUCAUUACAUGUAUUAGAUGUUCUAAAGAGAUUUUAAAAGUCGAGUUUGGAUUCUUAGUUGUUAAUUUGGGUGCUGAAUAUUUGACCCUAACCCAAGCAAGUUUAUCCCAGGGCUUUCAUUUUUUUUCCUUCGCUUUGUAUUUUGGUUUUAAGGACUUCUAUCAAAUUGACUCAUUUUGCUCUAAUAUGUUUCAGAAUUUGGCUCUCUUUGGCACACUAUUGUUCUUGGAACUGGAGACCUUCGAACCUUUCCAAAGUGGCACAAGGUUUGUUCUGCCUUGGUGCAACUUAUAGAAGUUCGACCAUCAUUCCUAGAGUGCCUUUUCAGAUAUUUUGAAGGUGAAUGGAGGUAUUAAAAAAUCCAGCUAAAUAGCUCAAGUAUGGAUGAUUACAGGAGCAACAACUACAUGCUAUGUGGAACUACAUCCGAACCUCAUAUGUGACUGGGAAGUACUUCGACGAAGAACUAUCAAGAAGGCUUUGGGAUUUAAGUGAGAAGAUGGUUAAAGUCAAUGAGUAAAGAACAUUUAAUUCAAGAGGAUAAGUAGCAUCUAUAAAGAUCCUUUAAGUUCAUGCAAUAAGAUGUAGACGAUAGAAGUAGUUUUCAGUGUCUCAAAUUAAAAUUUCUUUGUAUGCAAUUAAUUAUGCUUGUUAUAAAGUGUAUGGAUGAUAAUUUAUAUAUUUAUCUUGGUUGUUUAUUUAAUAAUA
This is a long non-coding RNA of Zingiber officinale, 2163 nucleotides long. RefSeq lists it as uncharacterized. Lineage: Eukaryota; Viridiplantae; Streptophyta; Magnoliopsida; Zingiberales; Zingiberaceae. The transcript is spliced from 3 exons. The record is from RefSeq and is a predicted model, not a curated record.